GAGACGGAGAUGCUACUCACUGUACCAUUGUUGAUCUUAUGGCUGCAACUGACACAACUGAAAGGACAACAGCUGAAGCAAACUCCUCAGUUCCAGUAUAUCCGGGAAGGAGAGAACUUCAGCACAUACUGCAAUGCCUCAAGCUUUUUAGACAGUGUACAGUGGUAUAAACAGAGGCCUGGAGGAAGUCCUGUCUUCCUGAUGCUGUUAACAAGGCCUGGAGAAACGAAGGAGAAAAGACUGACAAUUCAGUUUGGAGAAAAGAGAAAAGACAGCUCUCUGCACAUCACAGCGGUCCAGACUGCAGAUGUGGGAACCUACUUUUGCGCAGUGGCACAGUGUUCCUCAAGCACCUGCUGCCUGUCCCCAAACCUUGCCUUGGGGCCUCAGGGGCAGCCCCUCCCAUUCUCCUUGCAAAGCAUGAGCCAGAGAGAGUUGAAGUCACAAUGUCAGUGA
This is a non-coding RNA of Otolemur garnettii (small-eared galago), 456 nucleotides long. Lineage: Eukaryota; Metazoa; Chordata; Mammalia; Primates; Galagidae. The record is from the annotation of a RefSeq genome assembly.